This 158-nucleotide ribosomal RNA is filed under the name uncultured bacterium. RNAcentral describes it as "partial 16S ribosomal RNA". It matches the Rfam family "Bacterial small subunit ribosomal RNA", at positions 191 to 334 of the family's 1533-position model. The record is from RNAcentral.
CAUUAAAGAAUCAAAGGUGGCCCCUACCAUGUAAGCUACUGUUUGGAGAUGAGCCCGCGUGCCAUUAGCUUGUUGGUAGGGUAAUGGCCUACCAAGGCUACGAUGGCUAGCUGGUCUGAGAGGAUGAUCAGCCACACUGGAACUGACACACGGUCCAG